RNAcentral lists this microRNA (23 nucleotides) under Prunus persica (peach). RNAcentral's name for it is "microRNA miRNA_80". Lineage: Eukaryota; Viridiplantae; Streptophyta; Magnoliopsida; Rosales; Rosaceae. The record is from RNAcentral.
ACCUUUAAUCGCCCCAGCAAAUG